CCGGUAACGUCGAUGCGAUGGUGCGGUGCGUGCGGGCCCGUGCCGCCGCCGCGCUCGCUGCCGCCUCCCGCAUGGGAGCAAAAAGGGACAGGCGGAGCGCUUACUGGCUGUGGGCAGGAGCUGCUGCAGCUGUAGCUGGAGAGGCCAGAGAAAGGUAAAGAUGAAGAAAUUGAAGGCCAUCUGGCUGGCAGCUGCCUCUUGCUGCAGGCAAGAGAGAGCCUGCUUCUCCAGAGGCAGCACUGAAGACUCAGUUGUCGAUUCCUCUUGGGAUGUUGUUGACUGUGUCUGGCUCAGGAGUUGCAGUGGCUGAAGCUGGAGAGGCCAGAAGAAGGUAAAGCAGCUGAAGAAUAAAAUAAAGGGCAGACAAGAGACAGCCUGCCUCUCCAGGUGAGGAAGGAUCCCUGUUAGUGCAGUUCUCAGCAGAUCCGAUCACUAAUGUGCACAGCAGGGUCUGUAUGCAUAACCAAAGGCACACGACAGCCAUGUAGUGUGUGCAUGCGGGAGGCUAUGUAUCUGGGAUGCCUCAUGUUGUAAGACCUGUAAGACACCAAUCUAUGCUUUUAGGUGGAUGACAGUCAAGUGACCAGAGAUACGGGGUGGCGGGGGGGGAGGGGGGGGGGGG
RNAcentral lists this long non-coding RNA (622 nucleotides) under Aquila chrysaetos chrysaetos. RNAcentral's name for it is "lncRNA (ENSACCG00020010039.1)". The record is from RNAcentral. Lineage: Eukaryota; Metazoa; Chordata; Aves; Accipitriformes; Accipitridae.